AACGAACGCUGGCGGCAGGCUUAACACAUGCAAGUCGAACGCCCCGCCAGGGGAGUGGCCGACGGGUGAGUACCGCGUGGGAACAUACCCUUUUCUAAGGAAUAGCUCUGGGAAACUGGAAUUAAUACCGUAUACGCCCUACGGGGGAAAGAUUUAUCGGGGAAGGAUUGGCCCGCGUUGGAUUAGCUAGUUGGUGGGGUAAAGGCCUACCAAGGCGACGAUCCAUAGCUGGUCUGAGAGGAUGAUCAGCCACAUUGGGACUGAGACACGGCCCAAACUCCUACGGGAGGCAGCAGUGGGGAAUAUUGGACAAUGGGCGCAAGCCUGAUCCAGCCAUGCCGCGUGAGUGAUGAAGGCCUUAGGGUUGUAAAGCUCUUUCACCGAUGAAGAUAAUGACGGUAGUCGGAGAAGAAGCCCCGGCUAACUUCGUG
RNAcentral lists this ribosomal RNA (431 nucleotides) under uncultured bacterium. RNAcentral describes it as "partial 16S ribosomal RNA". It matches the Rfam family "Bacterial small subunit ribosomal RNA", at positions 29 to 507 of the family's 1533-position model. The record is from RNAcentral.